GACCUGUCUCCUGCAUUCCCCAUGGCAGCAACAACAUCAGGCUGUUUUGUGAAACAGCCUUUGUCCUAAAAUGUUGAGGACAAUAAGGUGGAGGCUGCAGCACAUGUCAAGAAAACACUGGGAACCAAAAAUUCGGCACCUGUCUCUGAAGUUGAUUGGACAUGAUGGGCCCAGGCAAGAUUUGCCUGGCGCAUCGUUCCUAAGGAAGCAGGAUCCCAACAAUGGAACUUUCCUUCUUCUCUGCUGUCAACAAAGGACUAAAAAACUUCUGUGUGAUUUGAUACAAUUUAGAAAACUUUUGUUUCAAAGUUUCCCAUCCAGACUAGCCAAGGAGAGAAAGGGAGGGGAACUAAUAAGCCCAUUAAGGUGUCUUCCCAAACAAAUAUUUUCCUUGUCCUUCUGCCCAAAUGCAGAAACAGCUGCAGCUUUAAAAAUAGCAUGCUUUUAUCUUUCGAAGGAAAUAUGCGAAAGUUUUAGCACUGGUUGUCUUUGGGUGGCAAGAAAUUAUUUAGUGUUAUUUAUUUCUUCCUAUUUUUCUGAAUUUUCCAAAUUGUCCACAGCAAGCAUGACUACUUUAUCAUAAUAAAAUCUCCAAUGUAUUAUGC
Molecule: long non-coding RNA, 605 nt
Filed under: Pongo abelii (Sumatran orangutan)
Lineage: Eukaryota; Metazoa; Chordata; Mammalia; Primates; Hominidae
Description: lincRNA
Source: RNAcentral